This is a long non-coding RNA of Oreochromis niloticus (Nile tilapia), 755 nucleotides long. RefSeq lists it as uncharacterized. The record is from RefSeq and is a predicted model, not a curated record. The transcript is spliced from 3 exons. Lineage: Eukaryota; Metazoa; Chordata; Actinopteri; Cichliformes; Cichlidae.
AAAAUACUCUCUUACACUAACACUGACGUUGAAAAAUGAUGCGCUGGGGGACAGACGGCUGAGAUGGUUUUGUGUUUGUGGCCCAGGACUGUGGCCCAGCAGGCUUGUUUGCUGCCAUAUAACAGUUUAACUUGAGCUAAGCAGAUGUUCCUGUCAGUGAGGCGAUGAUACGAUCUGCAGGAGUUCAUUUCAUUUCCAUAAAUUUUCACUUUUUUUUGAAGAUCUGUUUUCCCGUCUGCCUCCUCGCAAACCAGGUUCCUCUCUUUGAUUUCUAUAAUAUGACUUAUCCUCAGCGCCCAUGACUUUAGCAGCAGAAGCCGAUGAAUCACCUGUGUGACCUGAUGCUUACAGCACUGAGCAACACUAAGUCCACUUCUGAUGUCUCAAAGUCGUCACCCAGAGCAUCACUUCUGCACAGUUUGUUUCAGGAUCCUCCACAAAUACGACCAUAAGAUUACUGAUGUGUAUAAAAACACACUCAGUCAGAAUCAUUUUUCAGUGAUUAAAGUCCAUGUCAAGCAAAUCUUCUGAGUGGAAACCACGUCACUGAAGUCACGGCCAGCCUAACCCACACAGGGAUCCAAAGCAAACGUCUGAGCUCAGGUGGCUGCUGAGAACUUCGUUACAGGAACGUGUUACUUUCCCAGGCAUCCAGAAACCAGGGCGAGCUUCAGACAUGAAAGAAACUCUCAUCUGAUUCAUCAACUGACGAAAAAUCGUUAGUGUUUCUUUCAGAUUUUGAAAAAUACAGGAAA